Molecule: ribosomal RNA, 1091 nt
Filed under: Pichia pseudolambica
Lineage: Eukaryota; Fungi; Ascomycota; Pichiomycetes; Pichiales; Pichiaceae
Description: SSU rRNA
Rfam family: Eukaryotic small subunit ribosomal RNA
Source: RNAcentral
AAGUGUUGCAGUUAGAAGCUCGUAGUUGAACUUUGGGCCUGGGCGGGCGGACUACCUAUGGUGAGUACUGCUGCGGCCGGGUCUUUCCUUCUGGCUAGCCCUUGUGGCGAACCAGGACGAUUACUUUGAGGAAAUUAGAGUGUUCAAAGCAGGCCUUUGCUCGGAUAUAUUAGCAUGGAAUAAUAGAAUAGGACGUAUGGUUCUAUUUUGUUGGUUUCUAGGACCAUCGUAAUGAUUAAUAGGGACGGUCGGGGGCAUCAGUAUUCAGUUGUCAGAGGUGAAAUUCUUGGAUUAACUGAAGACUAACUACUGCGAAAGCAUUUGCCAAGGACGUUUUCAUUAAUCAAGAACGAAAGUUAGGGGAUCGAAGAUGAUCAGAUACCGUCGUAGUCUUAACCAUAAACUAUGCCGACUAGGGAUCGGGUGGCGCUACUUUGCCCACUCGGCACCUUACGAGAAAUCAAAGUUUUUGGGUUCUGGGGGGAGUAUGGUUGCAAGGCUGAAACUUAAAGGAAUUGACGGAAGGGCACCACCAGGAGUGGAGCCUGCGGCUUAAUUUGACUCAACACGGGGAAACUCACCAGGUCCAGACGUAAUAAGGAUUGACAAGUUAGAGACUUCUCUUGAUCUUACGGGUGGUGGUGCAUGGCCGUUUUUAGUCCUUGGAGUGAUUUGUCUGCUUAAUUGCGAUAACGGACGAGACCUUAACCUGCUAAAUAGGGCUGCGAGCAUCUGCUCGUGGGCUCUUCUUAGAGGGACUAUGGGUAUCAAACCCAUGGAAGUUUGAGGCAACAACAGGUCUGUGAUGCCCUUAGACGUUCUGGGCCGCACGCGCGCUACACUGACGGAGCCAGCAAGUACAACCUUGGUCGAGAGGCCCGGGUAAUCUCGUGAAACUCCGUCGUGCUGGGGAUAGAGCAUUGUAAUUUUUGCUCUUCAACGAGGAAAUUCCUAGUAAGCGCAAGUCAUCAGCUUUGCGUUGAUUACGUCCCUGCCCUUUGUACACACCGCCGUCGCUACUACGAUUGAUUGGCCUAAGUGAAGCUCAGAUCGCGCUGCGGUAGAGCACUUGCCAUGACGCCCGAAAAUUU